UGUGAAAACGCCCUUUAGUCCCCCCUAAGGGAAAAGGAGCUGGUAUCAGGCACCGAAAAAUCUGCCCAAAACACCUAGCUACCGCCACACCCACAAGGGAACUCAAGCAGUGAUUUGACCUUGAACAUAAGCGACAGCUUGACUCAGUCAAAGUAAGAAGAGCCGGCUAAUCUGGGGCCAGCCGCCGCGGUUACACCAUGUGGCUCAAAUUGACUUCUAUCGGCGUAAAGCGGUGAUUAAAGUUUUCUGAAUCUUUGGGGGUUAAACUAAAACUAAGCCGUGACACGCUUGAAACUAAGAAACCCGAAACGAAAGUUGCCCCAAUUAAAUCAACUUGAACUCACGACAACUGGGGCACAAACUGGGAUUAGAUACCCCACUAUGCCUAGUCGUAAACUUUAAAUUACAACCUCAUCGCCUGAGAACUACGAGCUAAGCUUAAAACUCAAAGGACUUGACGGUACCCCAAAUCCCUCUAGAGGAGCCUGUCCUAUAAUUGAUAAUCCCCGUUUGACCUCACCAUUUUUAGCUAAUCAGCCUGUAUACCUCCGUCGUCAGCUUACCCCGUGAGCGAAAUUUAGUGAGCUUAACGCACAUACACCAAUACGUCAGGUCAAGGUGCAGC
This 625-nucleotide ribosomal RNA is filed under the name Eupsophus calcaratus (Chiloe Island ground frog). RNAcentral describes it as "partial 12S ribosomal RNA". It matches the Rfam family "Bacterial small subunit ribosomal RNA", at positions 434 to 1201 of the family's 1533-position model. The record is from RNAcentral. Lineage: Eukaryota; Metazoa; Chordata; Amphibia; Anura; Alsodidae.